AUUGAACGCUGGCGGCAUGCCUUACACAUGCAAGUCGAACGGCAGCACGGGUGCUUGCACCUGGUGGCGAGUGGCGAACGGGUGAGUAAUACAUCGGAACAUGUCCUGUAGUGGGGGAUAGCCCGGCGAAAGCCGGAUUAAUACCGCAUACGAUCCACGGAUGAAAGCGGGGGACCUUCGGGCCUCGCGCUAUAGGGUUGGCCGAUGGCUGAUUAGCUAGUUGGUGGGGUAAAGGCCUACCAAGGCGACGAUCAGUAGCUGGUCUGAGAGGACGACCAGCCACACUGGGACUGAGACACGGCCCAGACUCCUACGGGAGGCAGCAGUGGGGAAUUUUGGACAAUGGGCGAAAGCCUGAUCCAGCAAUGCCGCGUGUGUGAAGAAGGCCUUCGGGUUGUAAAGCACUUUUGUCCGGAAAGAAAUCCUUGGCUCUAAUACAGUCGGAGGAUGACGGUACCGGAAGAAUAAGCACCGGCUAACUACGUG
RNAcentral lists this ribosomal RNA (486 nucleotides) under uncultured bacterium. RNAcentral's name for it is "partial 16S ribosomal RNA". It matches the Rfam family "Bacterial small subunit ribosomal RNA", at positions 30 to 507 of the family's 1533-position model. The record is from RNAcentral.